Molecule: ribosomal RNA, 253 nt
Filed under: uncultured bacterium
Lineage: Bacteria
Description: partial 16S ribosomal RNA
Rfam family: Bacterial small subunit ribosomal RNA
Source: RNAcentral
UACGGAGGGUGCAAGCGUUGUCCGGAAUCACUGGGCGUAAAGGGCGCGUAGGCGGCUCGGUAAGUAGGGGGUGAAAUCCUGCGGCUCAACCGCAGGGCUGCCUUCUAAACUGUCGAGCUCGAGCACGGUAGAGGCAGAUGGAAUUCCCGGUGUAGCGGUGGAAUGCGUAGAGAUCGGGAAGAACAUCAGUGGCGAAGGCGGCAUCCUGGACCAUAACUGACGCUGAGGCGCGAAAGCUAGGGGAGCAAACGGG